RNAcentral lists this ribosomal RNA (763 nucleotides) under uncultured bacterium. Its description in RNAcentral is "bacterial SSU rRNA". It matches the Rfam family "Bacterial small subunit ribosomal RNA", at positions 8 to 805 of the family's 1533-position model. The record is from RNAcentral.
AGAGUUUGAUCCUAGGCUCAGGACGAACGCUGGCGGCGUGCCUAAAACAUGCAAGUCGAACGAGGGGGGCAACCCCCUAGUGGCGAACGGCGGAGUAAGACGUGAGCAACGUGCCCCAGAGUCCGGGACAAACGCAGAAAUGCCAUGAAUACCGGAUGUGGCCGGGCCUCGGCAUCGAGGCCCGACUAAAGGUCUUUCGCUCUGGGAGCGGCUCACGGCCCAUCAGGUAGUUGGGGGGGUGACGGCCCACCAAGCCGACGACGGGUAGCGGGUCUGAGAGGAUGAUCCGCCCGAGUGGGACUGAGACACGGCCCACACACCUACGGGUGGCAGCAGUUGGGAAUCUUGCACAAUGGGGGAAACCCUGAUGCAGCGACGCCGCGUGGAGGACGAAGGGUCUAGGCCUGUAAACUCCUUUUACCGGGAAAGACUUAGGACGGUACCCGGGGAAUAAGGACCGGCUAACUACGUGCCAGCAGCCGCGGUAAGACGUAGGGUCCGAGCGUUGUCCGGAUUUACUGGGCGUAAAGAGCGCGUAGGCGGUCCGUUAAGUGAGGAGUGAAAGCCCCGGGCUCAACCCGGAAACGGCUCUUCAUACUGGCGGACUCGAGGGUGGCAGAGGCUCGUGGAAUUCCUGGUGUAGCGGUGAAAUGCGUAGAUAUCAGAGGAACACCCAUGGCGAAGCAGCGAGCUGGCCGCAUCUGACGCUGAGCGCGCAAGCGUGGUAGCAAACAGAUUAGAUACCCUGUAGUCCACGCCCUAA